Molecule: unclassified non-coding RNA, 1088 nt
Filed under: Hevea brasiliensis (rubber tree)
Lineage: Eukaryota; Viridiplantae; Streptophyta; Magnoliopsida; Malpighiales; Euphorbiaceae
Source: RNAcentral
UGAUUAUAUAGUACAAAACCUAAUGAACUUAAGAAAAAAAAUAUAUGCAUUUUAAUUAUACCUCUUAAUUGAUACUAUACAAAAUAAUUUAAAUUUCUUUUAAGAUUUAUCAACAUCAAUACCGUUCGUGUAACAACCAUGCUGAGAGGAGCUCUGAGAGUUUUUAAUUUUUUUAUUUUUGUUUCCCAGAAAUAAGUACUUAUUUUACCUUUUUUCCUUUACAAGGGAAUUUUACAUAUUUAACUACACGCUUACUUAUUUACAAUCACCAUACGUACUCAUGCAGACCAUACGUACUCAUGCAGGCCAUACAAAAUCUCCUCAUAAUUUAAAACCCAAUAAAUAAUUUUCCCGUGGUUAAGCCUCAUGUCAACCUGAACUCAGAAGUUGGAUUUUUCACCUAGUCAUCUGAUAUCCCUUUCUCAAUCUCUUCUGCUUCUUUGUUUCCCUUCUCAGUUGGACCAACAUCACUGGCUACCAUAGAAGGACGUGCUUUAAAAUCCUCCUGCUUUGCCACAGCAUCUGCUGCUGAUGCCUCAUUGAUAACUUCUUCCAAAUCCUCCUGCUUUGCACCGGUAUCUGCUGCGAAUGUCUGAUCGACACCUUCUUCAAAAUCCCCCAGCUUUGCCACAACAACUGCUGUCAAUGCGUCAUUUGCAGCCCCACUACUAUUGUGAUUUCCUUCCUUUUCUUCAACUCUAUAGUAAGCCUUUGGAAAUUUACAUUUGAUAAAAACAAAAUUGAUAUUCUUAGAGCUCAUUUCAAACAGUGGCAACAAAGAUUGGUACAUGCUAGAGAUAUUAAGUUUAUAAAGCUGAUUUAGUGCCUAGAAUCUAUUAUGAUGGCUCAGAAGUCACUGUACUUGGGUGAAACACAAAACAUAUUAUGGCAUAAAUGGUUCUAUACAAUUUUGCAGUGAGGGAAAUUUUAUACAUUGUAACUUUGAAUGAUAAACAUAAAUAAGGAUGGAACUCACCACACAAGUACGAGCUGGAGAGAGUACUUUGAAGGAGUUAGGACGAUCGUUGAAAUUUGUUUCAGGCACUCCAGGUAUCCCUUCAGGAGAUGUAAAAUGGUCCACAUCAUGG